UACGUAGGGUGCGACGUUGUCCGGAAUUACGUGGGCGUAAAGGAGCUCGUAGGCGGUUUGUCGCGUCGGUCCGUGAAAACUUGGGGCUCAACCCCAAGACUUGCGGCGAUACGGGCAGACUUGAGUACUGGCAGGGAGACUGGAAUUCUGGUGUAGCGGUGAAAUGCGCAGAUAUCAGAGGAACACCGGUGGCGAAGGCGGGUCUCUGGGCAGUGAACUGACGCUGAGGAGCGAAGACGUGGGUAGCAAACAGG
RNAcentral lists this ribosomal RNA (254 nucleotides) under uncultured bacterium. RNAcentral's name for it is "partial 16S ribosomal RNA". It matches the Rfam family "Bacterial small subunit ribosomal RNA", at positions 524 to 776 of the family's 1533-position model. The record is from RNAcentral.